Neofelis nebulosa (Clouded leopard) is the source of this 4207-nucleotide long non-coding RNA. RefSeq lists it as uncharacterized. Lineage: Eukaryota; Metazoa; Chordata; Mammalia; Carnivora; Felidae. The transcript has 3 exons. The record is from RefSeq and is a predicted model, not a curated record.
UGUAAUUAUGCUGUCAUAUCUCCUCCCAGGAAACUAUGAGAACCCUCUCCUUUACCCCCUUAUCAUUAUAAUGCAUGUCUGGGGUUUACCUAUUACACACUGAAAAAAGAAUUAGGAAACCUUUGAAAGAGACAAUCUGAUUUGGAAGAAAUUGAUUUCUCAAAAUGGAUCUGGAAGAGCAAAAGGUCCAAGAAUAACUGAGAAGCAAUUCUGAAAAAGUAGAGCGUGGAACAACUUGCCCUACCAGGUUCCUUUCGAGAGCUGCCUGCAAAACCCACAGGGAGUGAAAACCCCGGAAAGAGGUAGGGAGGAGAGGGCAGAGUGCCGUGGAGAAGGAAGAGAAACUCAGGCUCCCGGCCAGUUCUGUUCCAUACUAUGCAGCAAAACACAAGUGGCCUGAAAGUCACCGUGAAAUGCAAUGCCUUUGAGAAGUUCCGUGGAAAGAAUGAUAUCAUGGCCAACCACUCCCUGCACACCCCCCCCCCCCAACCUUUUUUCCAGUGGGAGUGAGAAAUAAAUAGACUGACACAUUUUCCAGUCAGGGAGCAAUUCUGGACAGCAAGUUUACCUUGGCACAGGCACUCAGGUGGGGCUGUGAGAAACCUUAUCUGUGCUUGCCCAGUAUAUGAGGAGCUCUCAUCUCCCUGGAGCCUUGGCCACCGCGCAGGUGACCGCAGAAGGCAGGUGAGCAUGGUGAACAGCAGGCUGGCCAGAGCCACAGCACAGUCGGAAUGGCCCCGGGAGCGGGCUGUGUUAGGUAAAUAUUGCCUGUAUUUGAUUGACGGGCUCAUUACUGACUUUGUUGGUUGCCAAGAGAAAUGCCAUCCAAUCCACCGGAUUCAACGGUAAAAUUGACGUUCCUUAACUCGAUGAUUCUCAAACUGUAAUGUGCAUAUGGUCACCUGGGGAUCUCGUUAAGUUGCAGCUUCUGAUUCAGCAGGUUGGGGCAGGGUUGAGGAAUCACAUUUCUAACAAGCUGCCGGGCCAGUCUACAGACCACACUGAGAGCUAACAAAGUCUUAGGGUGCAGAUGACUGUGUGCAUUUUACACAGUCGAAAUAGUUACUAUUUAAGGAGCUCCAUCUUGACUCUGUGACAGGUGCUGGACCAGGUGGUUUCUGGCCUCUAGCUCUUGUCCUCUUCGUGCCAGCUCCAUGAGGGAGGUGUUAUUAUCCCCACCCCUCCUUGACAGGCGAGGAAAUAGAGGCUAAGAGAGGUUAAUUCGUGCUAUAUACGUGUCAUUUCCAAGAGAUUUCAUUACCUUCCCUCCCUUCCCAGUGAUCUGAAAUAACCCGAAGACAAAGGAUAAUAAACACCCUGUAGUCGGGCUGGGUGAUUCUGCCCGUGGUGAUUUGCCCUCUUGAUACCCGAGAAUGAGUAAUUCCUUUUGUACAAAAUUGUGAGGGCCAAGCACAGGAGUGCAGGAACCCUAGAAUUAAUAUCUGGCCUAGCAAGUCCUGGCCUCAGUAGAGACAGCAAGUCAGAAGGGUGGACAAGCCUUGUUUUAAAUCCCUCUGGUGCUCAUGUGUUCACCCCUACGACAUGCCGUUUGAGACUCUUAAUACCUGGAGCAGAUGCUUUGAUGUGUCAGCUUGGAAAGAAUGCCUCUUUGUCUCUUAGGACCAGUCAGGAUUGCGAGAGGAAAAAAAAAAAACUGCCCCAGCCUGUGGGAACACCAAAGUGAUGGCAAUUAUAAUUGGACUGACUAACUGACCUGGAGACAUUAAAUAUCUCGAAGCACUGUGAUGUGCGCUUACAAAAGCCAGACAGCCUCCAGGUAUGAACUUGCAUCAUGUCCAGAUCUUAAGGAGAAAGGCAGCCCUCCUGGCCGGUCCUGGCCAGGCACUAUGCAUAGCAAAGUGGGGACAAUGAGAGACUCCCCUGCAGACAGUCGGAAGACCUGAUUUUUGGUGGCCACUCAACAGGUCAGACUCCCCCAGGACGCCACUAGCAUUUGAACCUCACCCACGGCAGUUUGGAGAUGUGACCAUGAUUUGCACUGUAGGGUAGGGAAGGCCAAGUUCAGGCCCUCCCAGAGACCGAUCACCACUCCAUCCUGGGGAGUUGUUACACAGAAGAAAACACUCAGAAAACGCAUUGGAGGCCUCCAAAGAAGUCAGAUAUACUAUUGUUGUUUACGUAUUACAUCAUUCUAGAGAGCAUUUGAGGGAGUUUACAGACACCACGUAAAAUAGAACAAAGUUGAAAACAAAAUAAGAGAGAAUAUGGGGGGAAAUAGAGGUAAAAGGGAAAAAGCCUGAUGUGGUUAAUACCUCCUCAAAUACCGUGAGGUCCCGUGUCCUUGGACUAAGGCUUCCUCACAUCAGGCUCCAACUCCCUAACCUGUAGAGUGAAAGUGCAAAGAAAAGCACCCACGGCACUGACGACGUGCAAAAAAGCAGCAGGACCUUCAGAGAGGUGCAUCCAUUCCUGGCGCUGAGGGUCCCCAGGGGGAGAAUCGGAAGACACAGUGGAAUGUCAUGAAGUGUGGCCUCGACGCCAGCUCUGUGUUGCUUCGUGGGGAUGUUUCCUAGAACACCCCAGUGCAGGCUCAUGGACACAACAGUGCCUGGUCCACAAAGAGCAAUUAUGGAAGAAUCCAGAAUUGCCCCUGCUGAGCUGGCUUACUUCCACAAUAAGAACCUGAAGAGCUGACUUCUAAGGCCCCCUGGGCCCUUCCCCUCUGGAAAUCUAAAGUCAGUCUUUUCACCAGGUCUGGUGUCGCCUUCACUCCAUGCUUUGGGGAGUGAGCCCCUCGAUGUCCCAGCAAACCUGCAGAUGGUGGGGGGCAAGUUGAGGGGCACCACAGCCCCAUCCCCAGGCUGGGAGCAGUGGUGUCCCCACCACGAUCUGCUGGGCACAGAGCAGUCUCCUUUCUGAGAACGAGAACAGGCCAAGGAGCCAGAGGCCCAGACCAAGUGCUGGUCCUAAGCUCACCACUCACCGACUGUCACAGCUGAGGCAAGGCAACUCCUCUCUCUGGGCCUUAGUUCUGUCACCCGCAAAUGGAGAUGAACUAGCAUUUCGUCUGUGCCCUCCCUGAGGACUCCCUGAGCCCGCAGGCCUCUGCGAUGCAUGCAUGGCAAACUGAAGUGAGGCCAUAAGUGGAGUUGCAAGCUUUGGGAUCUGUGGUAGAAAUAGAAAUGUGCCACCUGGAUCCCCAGCCAGAGGAGGGCCCAGGGCCCAGCUGUGGUGAGUGGGGUCAGCAGACGGCCUCCAGCUGUCCGCUCUUUAAAGUUGGCACCAGCCAAAGACAGCCAUCUCUCUCAAGGUCAUGCCCUUCCCCGGGACAGCCCACACUGUGGACCCAACAAGGCAGAGGAAAGAAGGCACUGGAAUUUUGUCUCAAUGCUGGGCAUUCUGACAGGUAAGUUUUGCUCCAAAGCUCCCCAUAGGAUUGGCUGAGAUUUGUGGAGUCUGCAUUUCCGUUAGACUUCCUUCUGGAAGCCUGCUUCUUCCCCUGCCUCUCCUGGGUGUUGGUCCCAAACUCUGUCUCCACAUCUGCCUCUGAAGAACCCAUCCACAACAGCAUCCAAGCACCCACAGCGCCCAGACUGGCCAGACACCAGGCCUUCAGAACAGAAGCUUGGGCUUCUAUGGACCCAAGAGUGAAAGAGAGAACUGGUGUGGAAUGUGUGUUAGCAUGUGCAGCCAUUGCUACAGCUCAGGGGUGGUCAUCUCCUGGGAACCCCACCCACCUGAAAGGCUGGACCCCCUUCUCCCCAGACCAGCCCCUUCUGCACUUGGCUUUUUCAGCAGGUGCCGCCAGCUUUGCAAUGGCUCAGCCUCAAGAAUCCCGUCUUCUCCAAUUCUCUUUCUCUUCUGCUCCCACAUCCAAACAAGUACUGAAACCUCCACCUUUUGCAUUGCCUCUGCCAUCACCUGCCCCUCCCGCGAGCGCCAGCUCCCCCUGGGGCCAUUGCAGUAGCCUCCUGCAAAACCCCCUCUCGAGUUCACCCCUCCUUUCUGUCCGAUGGCUAGCAGCCCACCUCUUGUGGGCUCCUAUCACUGCGAGGCCUCCCCUGCUCCCCAGCGUGGCUCUGUAGGAGGAAGAGAGUGUUGGGUGUGUUGAAAUCACACCAGUCCCUCACACCUGUUUCCCCCGAAGUCACUGGGAAGUGUUUGUUGCUGUUUGUCACAAAUACCCACACACAAACAAAGGUGGUAAAACAAUGUGAGGUGGAUGAGACAUCUCUGUUUCUAUCUG